ACUUAAAUUGAAGAGUUUGAUCAUGGCUCAGAUUGAACGCUGGCGGCAGGCCUAACACAUGCAAGUCGAGCGGUAGCACAGAGAGCUUGCUCUCGGGUGACGAGCGGCGGACGGGUGAGUAAUGUCUGGGAAACUGCCUGAUGGAGGGGGAUAACUACUGGAAACGGUAGCUAAUACCGCAUAAUGUCGCAAGACCAAAGUGGGGGACCUUCGGGCCUCAUGCCAUCAGAUGUGCCCAGAUGGGAUUAGCUAGUAGGUGGGGUAACGGCUCACCUAGGCGACGAUCCCUAGCUGGUCUGAGAGGAUGACCAGCCACACUGGAACUGAGACACGGUCCAGACUCCUACGGGAGGCAGCAGUGGGGAAUAUUGCACAAUGGGCGCAAGCCUGAUGCAGCCAUGCCGCGUGUGUGAAGAAGGCCUUCGGGUUGUAAAGCACUUUCAGCGGGGAGGAAGGCGGUGAGGUUAAUAACCUCAUCGAUUGACGUUACCCGCAGAAGAAGCACCGGCUAACUCCGUGCCAGCAGCCGCGGUAAUACGGAGGGUGCAAGCGUUAAUCGGAAUUACUGGGCGUAAAGCGCACGCAGGCGGUCUGUCAAGUCGGAUGUGAAAUCCCCGGGCUCAACCUGGGAACUGCAUUCGAAACUGGCAGGCUAGAGUCUUGUAGAGGGGGGUAGAAUUCCAGGUGUAGCGGUGAAAUGCGUAGAGAUCUGGAGGAAUACCGGUGGCGAAGGCGGCCCCCUGGACAAAGACUGACGCUCAGGUGCGAAAGCGUGGGGAGCAAACAGGAUUAGAUACCUGGUAGUCCAC
RNAcentral lists this ribosomal RNA (809 nucleotides) under Klebsiella pneumoniae. Its description in RNAcentral is "bacterial SSU rRNA". It matches the Rfam family "Bacterial small subunit ribosomal RNA", at positions 1 to 798 of the family's 1533-position model. Lineage: Bacteria; Pseudomonadati; Pseudomonadota; Gammaproteobacteria; Enterobacterales; Enterobacteriaceae. The record is from RNAcentral.